Fukomys damarensis (Damara mole-rat) is the source of this 864-nucleotide long non-coding RNA. RefSeq lists it as uncharacterized. Lineage: Eukaryota; Metazoa; Chordata; Mammalia; Rodentia; Bathyergidae. The transcript has 3 exons. The record is from RefSeq and is a predicted model, not a curated record.
UAAGGUGACACUUUGAUCAUUUUGCGAUUUGAAAGUCACAGAUCACUUUCAUAUAUUCUGGGAAGUUCUCUAUAAAACCUAAGUAUCAUGUGAAACGUGGUUGUGACUUGUUUAUAGUAACAUAAUCCUAUUGAUGAUGACGUACCUUGGGUCUCUUUGGCAUCUUUAUUCUGACAAACUAACCAUUCUGUCACAUCAGUGGAAAAUCUCUGAAAGGCUGCUUGUAUGGAUGAAGGAGCCUAACACACUGGGGAAUGGGAUAAAACCACGAGCCUAAAGGAACCAUAACACCAUACAGAAAAGGUGGAAUAACAGAAAUUUACAAAAAUACUCAUUUACAAGUCCAAUUUAAAUUAUGCAUUUGUUCUUUUACAUUGCACAAAAUCUAUCACCAAAAGCAUGAAGAUUUUCCUCCAGCUACUAAUGGACGCAGUAAUUGUAACCAAGGCUGACACUUUCUCAAAGCUGAAAAAAAACUGAUAAUUCAAUUUGUUGUCCUUAAUGUGGCUGAAAAUCUUCAUGGCUUCACUAGGUCCUUUUGAAAUUUUUCAAAACCAUCUCUGGUGGUGAGAUUUGCCCCAUGUGUGAAGCAGGGAGAAGAUCUUGUUUCCAGUACAACAGCUUGAAUCCAUGGAACAAGCCAUUCUUAUUGGACACCAACGCCUAAGCACCAUCUGCCUAAGCCAAUACAUCGCUUUUGUGUUAUUGUUUAUCUUGAAAUUAUUGAUAAUGUUAAAAUCUCUUUUUCAGUUGUAAGAUUUAACAAAGGGUGGUCGAACAAUACGUCCUCCUGGGCUCCUUUAUUCAGCUCCUAUCUGACAAACACUGAAAGAUCAGCUGUAUCACUAAUGUCAGGGAAUUCGU